RNAcentral lists this ribosomal RNA (466 nucleotides) under uncultured bacterium. RNAcentral's name for it is "partial 16S ribosomal RNA". It matches the Rfam family "Bacterial small subunit ribosomal RNA", at positions 28 to 507 of the family's 1533-position model. The record is from RNAcentral.
GAUGAACGCUGGCGGCGUGCUUAACACAUGCAAGUCGAACGAUGAAGCCCAGCUUGCUGGGUGGAUUAGUGGCGAACGGGUGAGUAACACGUGAGUAACCUGCCCUUAACUCUGGGAUAAGCCUGGGAAACUGGGUCUAAUACCGGAUAGGAGCGUCCACCGCAUGGUGGGUGUUGGAGAGAUUUGUCGGUUUUGGAUGGACUCGCGGCCUAUCAGCUUGUUUGUGAGGUAAUGGCUCACCAAGGCGACGACGGGUAGCCGGCCUGAGAGGGUGACCGGCCACACUGGGACUGAGACACGGCCCAGACUCCUACGGGAGGCAGCAGUGGGGAAUAUUGCACAAUGGGCGCAAGCCUGAUGCAGCGACGCCGCGUGAGGGAUGACGGCCUUCGGGUUGUAAACCUCUUUCAGUAGGGAAGAAGCGAAAGUGACGGUACCUGCAGAAGAAGCACCGGCUAACUACGUG